RNAcentral lists this ribosomal RNA (561 nucleotides) under Salmonella enterica subsp. enterica serovar Enteritidis. RNAcentral describes it as "partial 23S ribosomal RNA". The stretch from base 1 to 420 matches the Rfam family "Bacterial large subunit ribosomal RNA", at positions 105 to 565 of the family's 2925-position model. The record is from RNAcentral. Lineage: Bacteria; Pseudomonadati; Pseudomonadota; Gammaproteobacteria; Enterobacterales; Enterobacteriaceae.
CGGCGAUACCCGAAUGGGGAAACCCAGUGUGAUUCGUCACACUAUCAUUAACUGAAUCCAUAGGUUAAUGAGGCGAACCGGGGGAACUGAAACAUCUAAGUACCCCGAGGAAAAGAAAUCAACCGAGAUUCCCCCAGUAGCGGCGAGCGAACGGGGAGGAGCCCAGAGCCUGAAUCAGCAUGUGUGUUAGUGGAAGCGUCUGGAAAGGCGCGCGAUACAGGGUGACAGCCCCGUACACAAAAGCGCAUGUGCUGUGAGCUCGAUGAGUAGGGCGGGACACGUGGUAUCCUGUCUGAAUAUGGGGGGACCAUCCUCCAAGGCUAAAUACUCCUGACUGACCGAUAGUGAACCAGUACCGUGAGGGAAAGGCGAAAAGAACCCCGGCGAGGGGAGUGAAAAAGAACCUGAAACCGUGUACGUACAAGCAGUGGGAGCCCCACCACCAAAGCAUUUGCUGUACCGCGUUGACGGAGCGAAGCGACGUCAAACCGAUAAAACAGCAGUGUAAAGUGAGCCGCAGGGCGCUUUGCGCGACAGCGCAAAGGCAGGCGGUUUCGCGUA